AUUCUGUUUGUCCUUAGCCGUGCACUCUAGCUAGCUAGGAAGUUUGAUGUCAUCAAAUUUCACAUGAUGUAUAGCGACGUCCAAACAUCAAAACAUUGCUAGCAAAUUGUAAAAAAAAAAUGGAUAGUAACAAUAUAAUUCCAUUAAAUAACGACAGUAGACGCUGUAUUUUCUUUAAUACAGAUUCUGACGACUAUCGAUGUGUGGUGAUUCUCACAGUGAAGCGAGCCACAGGCACCUUCUCACUGAUAGGAUGCUUUGUUUCAACGUAGCGUUCUUCAAUCCUGGGGGACCUUUGUUUGUAGGCCUCAGUUCCAUCCCAGUACUCACUAGGCUUGGGCGAUAUACCGUUUAUACCAUA
This is a long non-coding RNA of Oncorhynchus tshawytscha (Chinook salmon), 361 nucleotides long. The record is from Ensembl. Lineage: Eukaryota; Metazoa; Chordata; Actinopteri; Salmoniformes; Salmonidae.